CUCAAUUUUCUUCGCGGGGGAACUCGACCCCCGCAAUCGCUGAUCGUCGCGUUCAUCGACGAGCUGCGGGCCGAGGGCCACGCGGUCGAGUCGAUCUGCCGGGUCCUGCGCGAGCAGGGCUGCCAGAUCGCCGCG
Nocardioides sp. JS614 is the source of this 135-nucleotide regulatory RNA element. It matches the Rfam family "ALIL pseudoknot". Lineage: Bacteria; Bacillati; Actinomycetota; Actinomycetes; Propionibacteriales; Nocardioidaceae. The record is from Rfam.